CCUACGGGAGGCAGCAGUGAGGAAUAUUGGUCAAUGGCCGGGAGGCUGAACCAGCCAAGUCGCGUGAGGGAAGACGGCCCUACGGGUUGUAAACCUCUUUUGUCAGGGAGCAAGGUGCAGGUCGGGACCUGCUGUGAGAGUACCUGAAGAAAAAGCAUCGGCUAACUCCGUGCCAGCAGCCGCGGUAAUACGGAGGAUGCGAGCGUUAUCCGGAUUUAUUGGGUUUAAAGGGUGCGCAGGCGGAGGCACAAGUCAGCGGUAAAAUCGCGGGGCUCAACCACGCUCCGCCGUUGAAACUGUGUGCCUUGAGUGCGCGAAGGGUAGGCGGAAUGCGUGGUGUAGCGGUGAAAUGCAUAGAUAUCACGCAGAACUCCGAUCGCGAAGGCAGCCUACCGGCGUGCAACUGACGCUCAUGCACGAAAGCGUGGGUAUCGAACAGGAUUAGAUACCCCAGUAGUC
RNAcentral lists this ribosomal RNA (459 nucleotides) under uncultured bacterium. RNAcentral's name for it is "partial 16S ribosomal RNA". It matches the Rfam family "Bacterial small subunit ribosomal RNA", at positions 338 to 795 of the family's 1533-position model. The record is from RNAcentral.